GAUGUGAAAGCCCACGGCUCAACCGUGGAGGGUCAUUGGAAACUGGAAAACUUGAGUGCAGAAGAGGAAAGUGGAAUUCCAUGUGUAGCGGUGAAAUGCGCAGAGAUAUGGAGGAACACCAGUGGCGAAGGCGACUUUCUGGUCUGUAACUGACGCUGAUGUGCGAAAGCGUGGGGAUCAAACAGGAUUAGAUACC
Molecule: ribosomal RNA, 196 nt
Filed under: Staphylococcus aureus
Lineage: Bacteria; Bacillati; Bacillota; Bacilli; Caryophanales; Staphylococcaceae
Description: partial 16S ribosomal RNA
Rfam family: Bacterial small subunit ribosomal RNA
Source: RNAcentral